UUAAGUUAUUAAGGGCGCACGGUGGAUGCCUUGGCACUAGAAGCCGAUGAAGGACGUUACUAACGACGAUAUGCUUUGGGGAGCUGUAAGUAAGCUUUGAUCCAGAGAUUUCCGAAUGGGGAAACCCAGCAUGAGUUAUGUCAUGUUAUCGAUAUGUGAAUACAUAGCAUAUCAGAAGGCACACCCGGAGAACUGAAACAUCUUAGUACCCGGAGGAAGAGAAAGAAAAUUCGAUUCCCUUAGUAGCGGCGAGCGAAACGGGAAGAGCCCAAACCAACAAGCUUGCUUGUUGGGGUUGUAGGACACUCUAUACGGAGUUACAAAGGACGACAUUAGACGAAUCAUCUGGAAAGAUGAAUCAAAGAAGGUAAUAAUCCUGUAGUCGAAAAUGUUGUCUCUCUUGAGUGGAUCCUGAGUACGACGGAGCACGUGAAAUUCCGUCGGAAUCUGGGAGGACCAUCUCCUAAGGCUAAAUACUCUCUAGUGACCGAUAGUGAACCAGUACCGUGAGGGAAAGGUGAAAAGCACCCCGGAAGGGGAGUGAAAUAGAACCUGAAACCGUGUGCUUACAAGUAGUCAGAGCCCGUUAAUGGGUGAUGGCGUGCCUUUUGUAGAAUGAACCGGCGAGUUACGAUUUGAUGCAAGGUUAAGCAGUAAAUGUGGAGCCGUAGCGAAAGCGAGUCUGAAUAGGGCGUUUAGUAUUUGGUCGUAGACCCGAAACCAGGUGAUCUACCCUUGGUCAGGUUGAAGUUCAGGUAACACUGAAUGGAGGACCGAACCGACUUACGUUGAAAAGUGAGCGGAUGAACUGAGGGUAGCGGAGAAAUUCCAAUCGAACCUGGAGAUAGCUGGUUCUCUCCGAAAUAGCUUUAGGGCUAGCCUCAAGUGAUGAUUAUUGGAGGUAGAGCACUGUUUGGACGAGGGGCCCCUCUCGGGUUACCGAAUUCAGACAAACUCCGAAUGCCAAUUAAUUUAACUUGGGAGUCAGAACAUGGGUGAUAAGGUCCGUGUUCGAAAGGGAAACAGCCCAGACCACCAGCUAAGGUCCCAAAAUAUAUGUUAAGUGGAAAAGGAUGUGGCGUUGCCCAGACAACUAGGAUGUUGGCUUAGAAGCAGCCAUCAUUUAAAGAGUGCGUAAUAGCUCACUAGUCGAGUGACACUGCGCCGAAAAUGUACCGGGGCUAAACAUAUUACCGAAGCUGUGGAUUGUCCUUUGGACAAUGGUAGGAGAGCGUUCUAAGGGCGUUGAAGCAUGAUCGUAAGGACAUGUGGAGCGCUUAGAAGUGAGAAUGCCGGUGUGAGUAGCGAAAGACGGGUGAGAAUCCCGUCCACCGAUUGACUAAGGUUUCCAGAGGAAGGCUCGUCCGCUCUGGGUUAGUCGGGUCCUAAGCUGAGGCCGACAGGCGUAGGCGAUGGAUAACAGGUUGAUAUUCCUGUACCACCUAUAAUCGUUUUAAUCGAUGGGGGGACGCAGUAGGAUAGGCGAAGCGUGCGAUUGGAUUGCACGUCUAAGCAGUAAGGCUGAGUAUUAGGCAAAUCCGGUACUCGUUAAGGCUGAGCUGUGAUGGGGAGAAGACAUUGUGUCUUCGAGUCGUUGAUUUCACACUGCCGAGAAAAGCCUCUAGAUAGAAAAUAGGUGCCCGUACCGCAAACCGACACAGGUAGUCAAGAUGAGAAUUCUAAGGUGAGCGAGCGAACUCUCGUUAAGGAACUCGGCAAAAUGACCCCGUAACUUCGGGAGAAGGGGUGCUCUUUAGGGUUAACGCCCAGAAGAGCCGCAGUGAAUAGGCCCAAGCGACUGUUUAUCAAAAACACAGGUCUCUGCUAAACCGUAAGGUGAUGUAUAGGGGCUGACGCCUGCCCGGUGCUGGAAGGUUAAGAGGAGUGGUUAGCUUCUGCGAAGCUACGAAUCGAAGCCCCAGUAAACGGCGGCCGUAACUAUAACGGUCCUAAGGUAGCGAAAUUCCUUGUCGGGUAAGUUCCGACCCGCACGAAAGGCGUAACGAUUUGGGCACUGUCUCAACGAGAGACUCGGUGAAAUCAUAGUACCUGUGAAGAUGCAGGUUACCCGCGACAGGACGGAAAGACCCCGUGGAGCUUUACUGUAGCCUGAUAUUGAAAUUCGGCACAGCUUGUACAGGAUAGGUAGGAGCCUUUGAAACGUGAGCGCUAGCUUACGUGGAGGCGCUGGUGGGAUACUACCCUAGCUGUGUUGGCUUUCUAACCCGCACUACUUAUCGUGGUGGGAGACAGUGUCAGGCGGGCAGUUUGACUGGGGCGGUCGCCUCCUAAAAGG
Molecule: ribosomal RNA, 2296 nt
Filed under: Staphylococcus aureus
Lineage: Bacteria; Bacillati; Bacillota; Bacilli; Caryophanales; Staphylococcaceae
Description: bacterial LSU rRNA
Rfam family: Bacterial large subunit ribosomal RNA
Source: RNAcentral